Molecule: ribosomal RNA, 233 nt
Filed under: uncultured bacterium
Lineage: Bacteria
Description: partial 16S ribosomal RNA
Rfam family: Bacterial small subunit ribosomal RNA
Source: RNAcentral
GACUAACGCUGGCGGCGCGCCUAACACAUGCAAGUCGCACGAGAAACUCCGUAGCAAUACGGGGCGGUAAAGUGGCGAACGGGUGAGUAAUGCAUGGGUGACCUGUCCUCAAGAUGGGAAUAACCUCGCGAAAGCGGGGCUAAUACCCAAUGCCAUCUCGGUCCUACGGAUCGGAUGAAAGAUAGCUGUCACAGGCUGUCACUUGAGGAGGGGCUCAUGCCCAUCAGCUAGUU